GCGGCCUUCUAAGUCAGACGUGAAAUCCCCCGGCUUAACCUGGGAACUGCGUCUGAUACUGGGAGGCUUGAGUUUGGGAGAGGGAUGUANAAUUCCAGGUGUAGCGGUGAAAUGCGUAAAUAUCUGGAGGAAUACCGGUGGCGAAGGCGGCAUCCUGGACCAUUACUGACGCUGAGGCGCGAAAGCUAGGGGAGCAAACAGGAUUAGAUACCCUGGUAGUCCACGCCGUAAACGGUGGGUGCUAGGUGUAGGGGGUAUUCCACGCCCUCUGUGCCGCAGCUAACGCAUUAAGCACCCCGCCUGGGGAGUACGGCCGCAAGGCUAAAACUCAAAGGAAUUGACGGGGGCCCGCACAAGCAGCGGAGCAUGUGGCUUAAUUCGACGCAACGCGAANAACUUACCAAGGCUUGACAUACACCGAAAACUCGUAAAAAUACGGGGUCCGCAAGGGCGGUGUACANGUGGUGCAUGGUUGUCNUCAGCUCGUGUCNUGA
RNAcentral lists this ribosomal RNA (494 nucleotides) under uncultured bacterium Bulk8. RNAcentral's name for it is "bacterial SSU rRNA". It matches the Rfam family "Bacterial small subunit ribosomal RNA", at positions 575 to 1070 of the family's 1533-position model. The record is from RNAcentral.